This is a non-coding RNA of Pelobates cultripes (western spadefoot toad), 225 nucleotides long. Lineage: Eukaryota; Metazoa; Chordata; Amphibia; Anura; Pelobatidae. The record is from the annotation of a GenBank genome assembly.
CAUAAUGCUGCUCCCACCUAUCUAUCCUCCCUUAUACACAAGUAUGUCCCGUCUAGGCCCUUACGAUCUGCUGAAGACUUACGUCUAUCUUCUGUCCGUACUCCCACCUCUGAUGCUCGCCUUCAAGACUUUUCCAGGGCUGCACCGUUCCUGUGGAACUCGCUUCCCUCCUCCGUUAGAUGCUCACCCAGUCUCCACUCCUUCAAAAAAUCUUUAAAAACCCAC